This 253-nucleotide ribosomal RNA is filed under the name uncultured bacterium. RNAcentral's name for it is "partial 16S ribosomal RNA". It matches the Rfam family "Bacterial small subunit ribosomal RNA", at positions 524 to 776 of the family's 1533-position model. The record is from RNAcentral.
UACAGAGGUGUCAAACGUUGUCCGGAAUUACUGGGCGUAAAGGGCGCGUAGGCGGCCUUAUAAGUCAGAUGUGAAAGCUCUGGGCUCAACCCAGGAAUUGCAUCUGAUACUGUAAGGCUUGAGUUCGGUAGAGGAGGGCGGAAUUCCAGGUGUAGCGGUGAAAUGCGUAGAUAUCUGGAGGAACACCCGUGGCGAAGGCGGCUCUCUGGUCCGAAACUGACGCUGAGGUGCGAAAGCUAGGGGAGCGAACAGG